This 372-nucleotide ribosomal RNA is filed under the name Drepanoides anomalus. RNAcentral describes it as "partial 16S ribosomal RNA". It matches the Rfam family "Bacterial large subunit ribosomal RNA", at positions 1970 to 2557 of the family's 2925-position model. Lineage: Eukaryota; Metazoa; Chordata; Lepidosauria; Squamata; Dipsadidae. The record is from RNAcentral.
UGUCUAUUAAUUGUAGACCAGUAUCAAAGGCAACAUGAGGGCCUAUCUGUCUCUUAUAAUAAAUCAAUUAAACUGAUCUUCUAGUAAAAAAGCUAGAAUCUCACCAUAAGACCAGAAGACCCUGUGAAGCUUAAACUAAGCUAUUAAAACAUAUAAUAGCUACUUUUGGUUGGGGCGACCUUGGAAAAAAAAAGAACUUCCAACAAUCAACAUAUAAAACCACACAGGCCAACAAGCCACACACCAACGACCCAGCACAGCUGAUCAUCGAACCAAGUUACUCCAGGGAUAACAGCGCUAUCUUCUUCAAGAGCCCAUAUCAAAAAGAAGGUUUACGACCUCGAUGUUGGAUCAGGACAUCCUAAUGGCGCA